Molecule: ribosomal RNA, 179 nt
Filed under: Escherichia coli
Lineage: Bacteria; Pseudomonadati; Pseudomonadota; Gammaproteobacteria; Enterobacterales; Enterobacteriaceae
Also listed under: 1 other name
Description: partial 23S ribosomal RNA
Rfam family: Bacterial large subunit ribosomal RNA
Source: RNAcentral
GGUUAAGCGACUAAGCGUACACGGUGGAUGCCCUGGCAGUCAGAGGCGAUGAAGGACGUGCUAAUCUGCGAUAAGCGUCGGUAAGGUGAUAUGAACCGUUAUAACCGGCGAUUUCCGAAUGGGGAAACCCAGUGUGAUUCGUCACACUAUCAUUAACUGAAUCCAUAGGUUAAUGAGGC